UACGAAGGUGGCAAGCGUUGUUCGGAUUUACUGGGCGUAAAGGGAGCGUAGGUGGUUAGGUAAGCCCUCCGGGAAAUCUUCAGGCUUAACCUGAAAAGGUCGGGGGGGACUGCCUGGCUAGAGGACGGGAGAGGAGCGCGGAAUUCCCGGUGUAGCGGUGAAAUGCGUAGAGAUCGGGAGGAAGGCCGGUGGCGAAGGCGGCGCUCUGGAACGUUUCUGACACUGAGGCUCGAAAGCGUGGGGAGCAAACAGG
This 253-nucleotide ribosomal RNA is filed under the name uncultured bacterium. RNAcentral describes it as "partial 16S ribosomal RNA". It matches the Rfam family "Bacterial small subunit ribosomal RNA", at positions 524 to 776 of the family's 1533-position model. The record is from RNAcentral. RNAcentral also lists the same sequence under 2 other names.